UAAAACAGGUUUGAGCAAUACAAUAGGUGAAGUUACCGCCUAUCAUCUAUCCCUUCUCUGCUCUCUUGUUCUCCCCACUCACCAAGAGAGACCAGGGAAGAGAGUGAUGCUCAUGCUUAGCGAUUCCAGCAAUCAAUGCAGCGAUUCAACAAUCCUGAAGCGAGACCUUUUGUUGCGACCUCGCCCGUAGACCUUGUGGCGACGCCGGCGUCCGCAU
Molecule: long non-coding RNA, 217 nt
Organism: Panicum hallii
Lineage: Eukaryota; Viridiplantae; Streptophyta; Magnoliopsida; Poales; Poaceae
Exons: 3
Source: RefSeq, a predicted model, not a curated record